This 264-nucleotide ribosomal RNA is filed under the name uncultured bacterium. Its description in RNAcentral is "partial 16S ribosomal RNA". It matches the Rfam family "Bacterial small subunit ribosomal RNA", at positions 793 to 1055 of the family's 1533-position model. The record is from RNAcentral.
GUCCACGCCCUAAACGAUGUCUACUAGUUGUCGGGUUUUAAUUAACUUGGUAACGCAGCUAACGCGUGAAGUAGACCGCCUGGGGAGUACGGUCGCAAGAUUAAAACUCAAAGGAAUUGACGGGGACCCGCACAAGCGGUGGAUGAUGUGGAUUAAUUCGAUGCAACGCGAAAAACCUUACCUACCCUUGACAUGGAUGGAAUCCCGGAGAGAUUUGGGAGUGCUCGAAAGAGAACCAUCACACAGGUGCUGCAUGGCUGUCGU